UUUUUUUUUUUUUUUUUAUGUAAAAUCCAAUCGAGUAGUUUUAGCUUGUUUCCUCAAUCAUCAUUUUUAUGUUUUCAUGUUUUUGUGGGUUUGUAUUUGGGGUAGGAGAGGAGUUCGUUGGGUUGAGAUUUUGUUUCGGUUUUUGAAGCAGCAAUGAGAGUUUUUUUACCGUAAAAGGUUACUGUAGAAAAAAAAAAACUAAAAUUGGGUGCAAUGUGAAAAAUUUAUCUGAGCGGAGUGGAAAAAGUCAAGCUACCAUGAGUAGCGUUUCUGUGUCAAGUCGCAGGACCCACACUUACAGACUCCAAAACGCUACUAUACGUAGCGAUUUUAAUUUUGCACAGCUCAAAACCACUACUGUGACUAGUGAUUUUGUCCAAG
Molecule: unclassified non-coding RNA, 381 nt
Filed under: Hevea brasiliensis (rubber tree)
Lineage: Eukaryota; Viridiplantae; Streptophyta; Magnoliopsida; Malpighiales; Euphorbiaceae
Source: RNAcentral